UAAGAAGAAGAAGAAGAAUA
This 20-nucleotide microRNA is filed under the name Corchorus olitorius. RNAcentral's name for it is "ath-miR50". Lineage: Eukaryota; Viridiplantae; Streptophyta; Magnoliopsida; Malvales; Malvaceae. The record is from RNAcentral.